RNAcentral lists this long non-coding RNA (664 nucleotides) under Neogale vison (American mink). Its description in RNAcentral is "Neovison vison (American mink) lncRNA (ENSNVIG00000006970.1)". Lineage: Eukaryota; Metazoa; Chordata; Mammalia; Carnivora; Mustelidae. The record is from RNAcentral.
AAACUGUUACUGUCAAGAAUUCUUUGCUUGUCCCACUCAUUUUCUAUGUUCAUUUACAUGAGAAUGCUAAGAUCUCCACCCAGCUUUAAGAUAAGGAAUGCAGGGGCCUAUCUCUUGCUGAGUCCCAAAGGACAACAGCACCUUAGGAAGAUUCCUGUUCUAUGAGGCACCUAAGUAAGAGUCUGAGCCAGAAACUGAGCAGAGAUAAACAAGAUGUAGAGUCUGAAGAUAGGAAGGCUCCCAGAAACAUAUUGUUAUAGAAGAAGAAAUCUUAUAGAAGCUCUGUGGAAAGCGAAAUCUUGUCUGCCUCUUAGUACUCUAUCCUUAGCAUCUAGAAGACUUGGCAAUCAUCUGUUGAAUAAAGGAAUGAAUCACUGUCAUGAGGGCAUGGUAGCUAUGAUGUAUCUUCUGGUGGAAGACAUUUUCCAACUCAUCAUCAUUCCUUCAGCUACUGGCUCUAUGUCAGGCUCUCAAUUACAGGAUUAAUGUAUGUAACAGCUUGAAAGACCAAGGCCAAUCAGAGUGAGUAAAAUAUAUACUAUCUAGGAAUGCCUUACUAAAUUUCUUGAUAAUUUUUAACUAGUAUAUAUUAAUGCAUUAUUUAUGUGAUUUCUUAUUAAAUUUUUUAAAUAAACCCCAGAAAAGCAGAGAGAAUCUUUGAAAA